Long non-coding RNA from Mus musculus (house mouse), 4761 nucleotides. RefSeq annotates it as predicted gene, 54287. The record is from RefSeq and is a predicted model, not a curated record. The transcript is spliced from 2 exons. NCBI's taxonomy places the organism in Eukaryota, Metazoa, Chordata, Mammalia, Rodentia, Muridae.
CCUAAAGUGGACCAGCGAGAGGGAGGGACUAGUCAGAAUGGGAGUACAGUAAGUCUGAAACACGCAAUCAUAACCAAUCAACAAUGUAGGCGAAAGCCACUGCGCUCCCUCAGGGCUCUUCUGAGGCAGAUGGGGCCGAACCAGCACUGUGAUUCUUUUCCUGAACAUUGGAGACAGUAUUCUGAGGCACACAGUGGAACGUUUGUAUGUGCCACCAUUUCUAAGACCUUCAAUCCCCAGACUUCCAUUCUUUUCCUGUAGGACUCUGGAAUCCUGGGUUUUACUGCAGCUAAGUUGGGUACCACAGCCUUGUAUUUAUGGGUAUCAUCAUCAAGGAACAGAGUGAGCAAACAUCUUAGUUUACGAUAAGAUUCUAUUUAGUAGGCACUCCAUAGAACAUCAGAUAAGGGCCACGCUUGCGUGGAUCAAUACUGUUUGUUUUACAGGACAUCAGGUGUGUGCCAGCUUAAACAAUAGAGCAACGGAAGCAAGGGCAGAGAGAGCCAGGGACCUGAAUGACACCUCAGUAGAAGCAUGAGUGCCAUUAUCGACCACGCACAGAGGAAGAGGAGGCCCAGCAAUGGCCUGCUGGGGAACCCAUGUUGCCUAUGUGGCUGAGCAGGGAUGAGGGAUGCUUGGGAACUGAUGCUGACUGAGCCCACACACAGGCCUCCCGCCUGGUACAGAAGGGAACAACGUGUGGCAUCCUGAUACAUGGCUUCCAAGCAGGCGAGCAGACGCACUUACCGAGCCCGUGCCUGUGUGUGGACAUAGGUGGCAUCACACUCCAGGUUUUUGUUUUGGGGUUGUAGCACUCUACGGUGUUCAGAGUCUUCAGUCCGUCUCGCCCUCCGACCACGUACAGUUUGUCAUCUAAGACUGCGACGCCGAAUUGGAGCCUCCUCCCAUUCAUGUUUGCCACAGGAGUCCACAUAUUUGUACGGAGGUCAUACUUCUCAAUGCUUGUUGCUCCUGAACAAUAACACAGAAGUUAGGAGACUACAAGAUCCACCCCGGCUAUGUUACAGACACAGAAGUAGAAUUUAUCUUGUGUGUGUGUGUGUUGUGUGUGUGCGCGCGCGCGUGCAUAUGGUGGGCAGAGGUUGGUGUCUGGUGUAUUCCUUUGUCGCUCUCCACUUUGUUUUUCCAGAGGGGUCUCCCUGAACCAGAACUCACUGUUCUGGCUAGGCUGGCUGGCGAGGGGCUCCAGCAAUCCACCUGUCUGCCUCCCCAGCCCUGGGAUCACACAAGUGUGCCAGCUGUGUAUAUGGUUUCUGGGGAUUUGAACUCAGGUCCUCUUGCUUGCAUGGAGAAGCACUUUAACAGUGGAGUCAUCUCCCUAGCCCCAAAGUAUAAAGGUUUCUUCGAGCAUCGACAGCAAUACUUUUAUGCUAUCUUAUGAAGCCCCUGCAGUACGGCCCUCGCCUGUGCCAUGACCUUUUCUCCCAUCAUUCUCCCUGGCAUACUCCAGGCCCAGCAUUAAAACAUCCAGCAGGGGACGUUCUUUGUUCAAAGAGGCCAGGAAGACGCUCAGCAAUUGGCGGAAGUGCAGGGAGGGAGCCACAGGGGAUCAUUCUGAGAAGGCUGGCCACAGUGCAGACAGGGUUCUUGGACAAGCUGAGGGAGGCUGUCUCCCUUUUGGGAUCGGAUUGUUGGGUUGUUUAUAGAAGUCAAUGGAAAGGUCUAGGGGAAGGAAACCGCUGACCCAGGAGAUAAGGGAGACAAUUAUUAUGUGAGGUUCUGGAAGAAAGAACAGUAACAACAAAACGGGCGGAGUGGGGCUGACACCACGCAAGGGAGGGGGCACGGCAAGGAGGAAGGACAAAGGUCGCCUGGGAACCAUUCUGCCGGAAGUGAAGGGAGUUACUACCCAUGGGGUUUACCAUGGAAAAUUCCAGAGCUCUUUUGCUCUCUUUCAAGAUGUGGAACAGCAACAGCAGAGAUUUAGGAAAAAGUGAAAGAAAGUAUCUCACUUAAAAAAAAAUCUAACUCGCACUUCCGUAGAGAUCGAGUCUUUUUCUAAGCUGAUAAUUUACCAGCCUGUUCUAGCAUUAUAAAGGACUGCAGUCGCAGUGGACACUUACUCCUCAGGCUUGUAAAAUCAGCAUCAGAGCUACUACUGUUGAACCUAAAACCAGACCGUCCGGCUGGCUCCACACCCGGCGCUGUGUUUACUUACCCUACACAGGCUAAGGCUUUUGAGACUGACACCAACUCCCGUUCCAUCUUGUAUUCUCCCAGAACUACACAGAAUCAAUCCCUUCUAAACACUAGCUGGUUUAAAAAUACUUUUUACUUUGCAUAGCCUUUCUUUGUAAUAUAUGGCAAUAAUGAUAUUUUAUUCAUUCAGAUUAUAUACAUGUGUGUAAAGUAUCAAGAUUGUAUGGAUUUGUUUGAUUCUUCACUCCAACCAUGACUUUAAAGUGUCCAUAAAAUAAAAUAAAAAAUCGCCUUCCAUCAAACAAAAAUCUUUUUCCAUUGAUGAAUUUUCAAGCUUUUUUUGUUUUUUUUUUUUGUUUUUUGUAGACUUCUGUUAUAAACUGGAAAGCCAAAAUUUAAGAAUCUAAACUAGUAAUACAAAUAUGCAUCUAUAAGUUUGUGGGUGUGUGUGGAGAGACAGCACAGUGGUUAAGAGCGCCUAGCUUCAAUUCCUAGCACCCACAGAAUGACUGGGAGCAUAGGGAGGGUGCAGGAUCUACUGCCCUCUUCUGGCUCCCACAGGCACUGCAUGCCUAUGGUGCACAUUAGACGGGGCUGGAACAGGGCUGAGAGCAGAACCAGGAUGAGCUGAGACUGUGUGACUUCUGUCAGGGUUGCAGGCACCACUGCAGGAGGAUGGGCAGAGGUCAGGUGUACAGAAAGGCCCCAUAACAACUGACAGCCAAUAGCACCAUGCAUGGUCUUCAACCUCUAGGAACAACUGUUCACAGAAUCCAAGUUUGUAACUCAAAUAUUUGUGUUUAGCUUUCAUUUCUAUAUAUGUAUGUAUGUAUUCAUGAAUCUUUUCUUAAUUGUUUAAGAGUAAAAAUCACAGAAAUGAUGACCCCGUGGCCCUAAAUAUUUCAGCAGAUCUUCCUCAGAGAAAACGAUUCUUUUUAAAAGUCAUCUAUGUGGAGUGAAGUGUUCUUACUGAGCUAGAUCCCUAGCCUAAAGUAGCUAGUUACCUCUUCCUAAUCUCAUCUGUCUCUAUCAGUUGGCACCAUGAAAGAAACAGCUUUCCUUUCCAUCUGUGUCUCUGUGAACUCACGGAGACUCUGAUUUGACGUUAGCUUCUUUUACAGUAAUUACUUACUAUGAUGCUCAAGUUACUUAAACUCAAUGGAAACUCCCAACAAGAUGUCUUCUCUACCUUUUGAUCUGCCUCUUACCAUGCCUUGAAUAUUUUCUGCCACUAAGGUGCUUUCUGGUCUCAUCUUUUCCUGUCCUUGUCCCUCAACCAGUCACUUCUCCACCGGGCCUCUUGGUAGUGUUACUGGUUACCCUCUGUUCCUUUAGAUCAACGAUCUCCCAAUACCCUUUGUUGAAUCCAUCCCUCCAACUGCAAAUAACGUUCCAACAGUUGACUUGCGAGGCUUUGUCCGAGGACUCUGCAACAUGGGUCGUCUCUCAGGUAAUAAAUGGUACUUCAUUGCUUCCAUGAUGAGUUUCUGACAUUCAAUGUCAUCCCGGAAAAGUGCAUUGUUUUCCAUGUCUGCCAGGAACUAGAAGAGAGCAGGGUAUACAGACAAUGAAGACAUGUAAAUAUACUUUUUAGUUCACUACUGCAUUUUGCUGGUCUGUUUAUUUCUAGGAUUUUACUUCAUUUUUGAGACAGGGUCUUACUAUGUGGCCCUGGUUGGUCCAGAAUCCAUGAUGUACAGCAGGCUAGCCAUGGCCCCCUGAUUCUCCUGCUUCAGUAUCUCACACAGUGAAAUUGCAGGCAGCAAUCACCACCAUGGGCUCAUGAGUGCCCCUGCCUCAUGAGUGCAGGGAUGAAAGACAUUUAUCACCCUCCCCUGCCCGGUUUCUGUUGUUUCUGAUGUAGGAACUCAUAUUGGCUUUGAACUCUUAUGUGUCCCAGGCUGACUCUGAACUUGGGCUCACAGGUGCUGAGGCUAUAGGCAAGAGCUGCCCCAGAUUAUUGGUGUCUUUACUGCAUGCUCUGAAAUCUGAUAUUUUGGUCUCCCUCUCAUCAAGUUUCACAGUUUUCUUGGCUAUUUGAGGUCUAGUUUUCCAUGUUGGUUUAAGACAGAGUCAUCUAGUUAUCUUUAUUUUCUUGGCUUUCUGGUGUGAAUGGUGCUAAGUUCUUUUAUUAGUUAUGGAGAAUACACAUUUUGUGAUAUUAGGUCUUUCUGUUCAAGGAGCCUUCUCACUUGUAUCACUUUCUUUACUGUCUUUCCCUUCAUUUUGUUAAAUCUAUUCUUAUAUAUGUAAUUAUUUUUAUUGCCAUUUUAUUUUUUCUGUUUUUUAAAAAAAACUUUCUCUCUCCUUCUUCCUUCUCUUCUCUUCUCUUCCUUCCUUCCUUUCUUUCUUUCUUUCUUUCUUUCUUUCUUUCUUUCUUUCUUUCUUUCUUUCUUAUGUUUUGCUGGAGAAGAAAAACAAAUCUCAUGAUGACUGGAGCUUGUAUUAACCUGGCACUUUACCACACUCCUUAGCUCUAGCUGUUAUGCAUUCGCCCAUCAUCAAGUAGGGAGACUUUGACAUCUCUUCUGAGUGGACAUCAACUCUUUCAGUUUAUGGCAUUAUAUUGCCCAAACCUUCAAUGUAGUGGUAAAUAGCUGG